This 332-nucleotide unclassified non-coding RNA is filed under the name Hevea brasiliensis (rubber tree). Lineage: Eukaryota; Viridiplantae; Streptophyta; Magnoliopsida; Malpighiales; Euphorbiaceae. The record is from RNAcentral.
ACAACAACAACAACAACAACAGCUAAGCUAAUCCCAAAGAUGUUUAAUCAAACUGAAGAUGUCUAAAAAGUUUUCAGAGUGAUCCAGACAAAAUAAAAGAUAUUUUCCCUCUUAUAUUUUUUGGCCAAGUAGCAGAACGGAGCUAGAGUAUUUAGGGUAGCCCAUUCAAACAAAAAUCCCUGAAAGCACUCCUAUGACAUUUUCAAUCUUGGCCUCUCCAGGCACAAUUUUAUUCAGAUAUUCAUUCUCAAAUUUCUCAUCCCCACCUAUCAAACUAGAUGAGCUCACUACACAGCAGCAUGAAUUCAUAAGAAAAAUAUUGUACAAAUAAG